GUGGCUGUAGCUCAGUCUGGCUAGAGCGCCUCCCUGUGGAGGAGGAUGUCGAGGGUUCGAAUCCCUUCAGUCACCCCA
This 78-nucleotide transfer RNA is filed under the name Candidatus Woesebacteria bacterium. RNAcentral's name for it is "tRNA-His". It matches the Rfam family "tRNA". Rfam says of the family: Transfer RNA (tRNA) molecules are approximately 80 nucleotides in length. Their secondary structure includes four short double-helical elements and three loops (D, anti-codon, and T loops). The record is from RNAcentral. Lineage: Bacteria; Candidatus Woeseibacteriota.